Long non-coding RNA from Oncorhynchus tshawytscha (Chinook salmon), 4737 nucleotides. Lineage: Eukaryota; Metazoa; Chordata; Actinopteri; Salmoniformes; Salmonidae. The record is from Ensembl.
ACCUGCUGGCCCCUACCGGCCCCUACAUCAACCUACUGGCCCCUACCGGUCUCUACUUCAACCUGCUGGCCCCUACCGGUCUCUACAUCAACCUGCUGGCCCCUACCGGCCCCUACAUCAACCUGCUGGCCCCUACCGGCCCCUACAUCAACCUACUGGCCCCGUCCGGCCUCUACACCUACUGGCCCCUACCGGUCUCUACAUCAACCUACUGGCUCCUACAUACCUGCUGGCCCCUACCGGCCCCUACAUCAACCUACUGGCCCCUGUCUGCCCCUACAUCAACCUACUGGCCCCCUACCGGCCCCUACACCUACUGGCCCCUACCGGUCUCUACACAGCUACCACCUACCUACCCUACACAGCUACCACCUACCUACCUACCCUACACAGCUACCACCUAAUUACCCUACACAGCUACCACCUACCUACCCUACACAGCUACCACCUCCACCUACCUACUCUACACAGCUACCACCUACCUACUCUACACAGCUACAACCUACCACCUACCUAUCUUACAUAGCUACCACCUGGGCCCUACCGGCCUCAAAAUGCCUCUAUACCUACCUGACCCAAGCCCUCCACAUAUCUUAACCACUCUACCAGGCCCUACUUCUCCACUUCACACUACUUCUCCACUUCACACUGCAACCUUUCAACUUUCACCAGCGCCACUUCAGUCCCACACCUAGUGACCCCCUCCAGCCCAGAAUAGGCCCCCUGUGACGCAUGCUUGCCUUCCGCGUGUCCUCCUCUUCCUCCCUCCUGUCAUGUCCUCCUCUUCCUCUCUCCUGGUGUGUCCUCCUCUUCCUCUCUCCUGGAGUGUCCUCCUCUUCCUCAAUCCUGUCAUGUCCUCCUCUUCCUCUCUCCUGGCGUGUCCUCCUCUUCCUCUCUCCUGGCGUGUCCUCCUCUUCCUCUCUCCUGGCGUGUCCUCCUCUUCCUCUCUCCUGGCGUGUCCUCCUCUUCCUCUCUCCUGGCGUGUCCUCCCCAACCUACCACUAGAGAGAAGAAAAUAAGCUUAAAGAAAAUAAACUGAGCAGUGACACCGUGUUGACACCGGGUUGACACCGUGUUGACACCGGGUUGACACCAUGUUGACACCGGGUUGACACCGUGUUGACAUACGGCCACAAUUCGUCUUAAUUAUGAACAGUUUUAUUUUUUUUUGUUCUGAUGUAGUGGAGUGGAGAAGAGUGAAUAAUUUACGGCGGUGCAGCUGCUUGCUGUGGUUACUGUGAAUUGGCUGCGGCUUUCUGAAGCCAUCAUAGUGUUUUAUGGCCCCGUCUAUCUGUCUGUCUGUGCCGCCCUCCCUCCUGGCCAGGAGUCUGACACUAACGACUAACGCCGAAGCCUGGAGUUGCCUGGACUGACCGGGUCACAGAGCUCAGCUACACUACAAGUCGCACCAAACCCCCCGACUGAGGGCGACAACAAACUCUCCAUCGAAAUCUCUCGUUCUUUCUGAUUCUCUCUCUUUUUCUCUCUCUCUCUCUCUCUCUCUCUCUCUCUCUCUCUCUCUCCCCUCUCUCUCUCUCUCUCUUUCUCUUUCUCUCUCUCUCUCCGUGGUAUAUAGAGACAGAGGGGCCCUUGUUGUUCUAACUUGUCUGGAUUGGCCUCAUUCUGGGAGUCCUGUCUGGCUUGGCCUCAGCCUGGGAGUCCUGUCUGGCUUGGCCUCAGCCUGAGAGUCCUGUGCUUCUUAUUAUUUAUGAACUGAGACUUUGUGAGUCUAUACCACACCAAGAUGAACAAGGAGGAAGACCAUCCACACUAUACCACACCAAGAUGAACGAGGAGGAAGACCAUCCACACUAUACCACACCAAGACGAACGGGGAGGAAGACCAUCCACACAAUACCACACCAAGAUGAACGAGGAGGAAGACCAUCCACACUAUACCACACCAAGAUGAACGAGGAGGAAGACCAUCCACACUAUACCACACCAAGACGAACGAGGAGGAAGACCAUCCACACUAUACCACACCAAGACGAAGGAGGAGGAAGACCAUCCACACUAUACCACACCAAGACGAACGAGGAGGAAGACCAUCCACACUAUACCACACCAAGACGAACGAGGAGGAAGACCAUCCACACUAUACCACACCAAGACGAACGAGGAGGAGGACCAUCCACACUAUACCACACCAAGACGAACGAGGAGGAAGACCAUCCACACUAUACCACACCAAGACGAACGAGGAGGAAGACCAUCCACACUAUACCACACCAAGACGAAGGAGGAGGAAGACCAUCCACACUAUACCACACCAAGACGAACGAGGAGGAAGACCAUCCACACUAUACCACACCAAGACGAACGAGGAGGAAGACCAUCCACACUAUACCACACCAAGACGAACGAGGAGGAAGACAGACGAUGAUGUUUAUGGAAGAGCUAAAAUAAACAACAAAAAAAAGGGAUUUUCCAAUCAUUUAAAAAGAGUUAAGAAACUUAAUGUACAAUGAUUCCCGAGACAAUCGUGUCCAGAGGAAGUCUUUUUAACUUUUUUGACAAUCCCUUCCUAUAUAAUAAUCGUUUAUUACAGUCGGUACAAAGGUGAUGAUGUUUUCAUUGAAGUCAAAAGGCUGAUCGAGCAACGAUGAUGGUGACGAUGUGUUGAGCUUGUUUUUGAACCAAUAAAACUAACAAACAAACAUAUAGAUGAAAAUGAGAUUUUGUGAUAUAUAACUUGUUUUGUUCAAGACCAAAAGCAUGGAUGUCAAGUGUCAAUGAUCAUUGUGUUCAGUCAGUGAUGUUUCUUCCUCGUACUCUCUCUCUCUCUCUCUCUCUUUCUCUAUUUACACUCAGUAUAGUAUGAAAUAGUGUUAUUUCAGUCACAAUUCAACACAGCGGUUUCCCUCUGAAUCAAGGCCUGGGAUUUAAUCUGCAGCCGUGCGAUUGUCGAAUUCGAUCUCACGAAUGAGGUAGCAUUGGCUUUAAAAGCCGCAUUGUCUACAAGCGCGAUCAAAUUGAAUCCCAGUCCAACACUGUGUAGAUCCAUGUUUCAUUGGGGUAUUUUUAUAUUUUAUUUUAUUUUAAUGUUCACUUACUUGGAAAAGUUGUUCAGAACUUGUUGUGUGGGCAUUUCACUAGCUUGCAGCACAAACCAACCGUGUGUAUUUUAAAGCUAAUGUAAUUGACAUGAUAAUACCAUUGCAUCUUGGGAUAGAGAUGUCUGAUCUGGACUGAGUUGGUAGGUUUUUUAUUUUUAAAUGUUACCCCUCGGUCAGUUCCCAGACUCCGAGCCGUAUAGAGUACCAUUUUAAUGAAUUUAGGAAAAGUUCAGCUUUCAGGAAUGAAAAAGAAAAAAACAAGCUUUUAAAUAGUUUUUAUUAUCUUUUCUACGAGCGCUAUCACAACAACUAUUGUACAGCGUACAUUUUUGUAUGAAGUAGUGUUUUUAUUUAGAAUUUUGAAAAAAUGAUUGUGUUCUUCUUGUGUCCCACCUUUUGAAUUUCUGUAGUUGAAAAUGAAAUUCAUAUGAUGCCCUUUUUUCUGAUAGUGCUUGUUAUGAUAGGACUGUGGACUGAAGUGGUGGGAUGGAUAGGGGAUAACUGUACUGAGGUCUUGUUAUGAUAGGACUGUGGACUGAAGUGGUGGGAUGGAUAGGGGAUAACUGUACUGAGGUCUUGUUAUGAUUGGACUGUGGACUGAAGUGGUGGGAUAGAUAGGGGAUAACUGUACUGAGGUCUUGUUAUGAUAGGACUGUGGACUGAAGUGGUGGGAUGGAUAGGGAUAACUGUACUGAGGUCUUGUUAUGAUAGGACUGUGGACUGAAGUGGUGGGAUGGAUAGGGGAUAACUGUACUGAGGUCUUGUUAUGAUAGGACUGUGGACUGAAGUGGUGGGAUAGAUAGGGGAUAACUGUACUGAGGUCUUGUUAUGAUAGGACUGAAGUGGUGGGAUGGAUAGGGGAUAACUGUACUGAGAGAUAAAAGAAGAAGAAAAAGCCACUACUUCCCCCGAAGACAAAGGGGUUAUUAAGAACAUACAUACAUGUGCUAUCAACUGUGAAUUUCUUAAGACAGGAACUGCUUCUAGGUCCGUUUCUAUGUCCCCCCCCCUCCCCAACUCCCUCUGCACAUGCUCACUGUUGCUAUGCUGGUGUCGUUGCGGUGAUGACCGAUCUCUUUUCCCCCUGGCAACGGCAGCAAAACGACAUACUUCUCUCUCUCUCUACAUUUGUGAUUUCUCUCUCUCUCUCUCUAAAAGCAACUUCUCCCCCAUAGCUCUUUCAGGGGGACUACAUAUUGCUGCUAGAUUAAGGUAUCAGAUAGGUAGAUAGACAACGGAAAAAUGUUUUUAUAGAAUUCAUACGUACAGCAAAAGACUUGUUUUUAUUUUUAUUAUGUUGCAAUUAUAAAUGCAAAACUGGAAAUACUUUCACUAAUAACAUGGGCCUCGUGGAGGAAAAAACACAAAAGGUUUGUUGUGUCUGCAAAAAAAAAAGAUGUGUACAGAUGUUUUUUGACAUUAUUAUUUGAUUGUGUUUAAAUUAAUAAAAAAUGGAUUUGUGAACUGUUACUCCCGGGAGUUUCCUCUUUUAUGGUGAUUGAAACGGUGUCCUGAAAAUCUCCUCGGACUAAAUUAUGAUUCAUCGACUAGACGCCUAUUUAUAUUUGACAGAGGGUAUAGUCAAGAAAAUAAUUGCAUUUCCAUGUGUGCUUUGGCGUUUGGAUCCAGAGUUAUCCACAAUUCCUUGUAGGAACAAAUGUACAGUAACAACAAUACC